Molecule: ribosomal RNA, 454 nt
Filed under: uncultured Rikenellaceae bacterium
Lineage: Bacteria; Pseudomonadati; Bacteroidota; Bacteroidia; Bacteroidales; Rikenellaceae
Description: partial 16S ribosomal RNA
Rfam family: Bacterial small subunit ribosomal RNA
Source: RNAcentral
ACGGAAGGCAGCAGUGAGGAAUAUUGGUCAAUGGACGGAAGUCUGAACCAGCCAUGCCGCGUGAAGGAAUAAGGCCCUACGGGUCGUAAACUUCUUUUGUGGUGGAGCAAUAAGGUUCACGUGUGCAUCGAUGAGAGUACAUCACGAAUAAGCAUCGGCUAACUCCGUGCCAGCAGCCGCGGUAAUACGGAGGCUGCGAGCGUUAUCCGGAUUUAUUGGGUUUAAAGGGUGCGUAGGCUGUUCUUCAAGUCAGAGGUGAAAUACCGGGGCUCAACCCUGGAACUGCCUUUGAUACUGGAGGGCUUGAAUACUGUUGCCGUGGGAGGAAUGAGUAGUGUAGCGGUGAAAUGCAUAGAUAUUACUCAGAACACCGAUUGCGAAGGCAUCUCACGAAGCAGCGAUUGACGCUGAGGCACGAAAGCGUGGGGAUCAAACAGGAUUAGAUACCCUGGUA